AGAACGAACGCUGGCGGCAGGCCUAACACAUGCAAGUCGAACGGGACCUUCGGGUCUAGUGGCAGACGGGUGAGUAACGCGUGGGAAUCUACCCAUCUCUACGGAACAACUCCGGGAAACUGGAGCUAAUACCGUAUACGUCCUUCGGGAGAAAGAUUUAUCGGAGAUGGAUGAGCCCGCGUUGGAUUAGCUAGUUGGUGGGGUAAUGGCCUACCAAGGCGACGAUCCAUAGCUGGUCUGAGAGGAUGAUCAGCCACACUGGGACUGAGACACGGCCCAGACUCCUACGGGAGGCAGCAGUGGGGAAUAUUGGACAAUGGGCGCAAGCCUGAUCCAGCCAUGCCGCGUGAGUGAUGAAGGCCCUAGGGUUGUAAAGCUCUUUCAACGGUGAAGAUAAUGACGGUAACCGUAGAAGAAGCCCCGGCUAACUUCGUG
Molecule: ribosomal RNA, 435 nt
Filed under: uncultured bacterium
Lineage: Bacteria
Description: bacterial SSU rRNA
Rfam family: Bacterial small subunit ribosomal RNA
Source: RNAcentral